This 74-nucleotide transfer RNA is filed under the name Ovis aries (sheep). It matches the Rfam family "tRNA". Rfam says of the family: Transfer RNA (tRNA) molecules are approximately 80 nucleotides in length. The record is from Rfam by way of RNAcentral. Lineage: Eukaryota; Metazoa; Chordata; Mammalia; Artiodactyla; Bovidae.
UCCCUGGUGGCUCAGAGGUUGAAAAGCGUCUGCCUGCAAUGCGGGAGAUCCAGGUUCGAUCCCUGGGUUGGGAA